GUGUGUGUGUGUGUGUGUGUGUGUGUGCUUAUAUAAAGAGUGAUCAGUGCCGUGACCUGCUGUUGUAUAUUCUACACAAAACCCAACCUAAUAACCGAAACUCCCCCAGAGCAUGUGGAGAGGUGGAGAGGUGACGAUUUGGGCGACGAGCUCCGUCACGUGUAAACGUCUAAUCAUCCAGGCUUCUCCUUCCUCCAGUCCAGAUGAAAGCAGCGUAUUAUGGCGGCCCGCGCCUGUGCACCACAUGUGCUCGACAAAUGUUAUUUCUUCCAAAAUGGAUGUGUCGCUGCCUUCAAAUGAAGGCGACAGUAAUGUAAGCAGGAAUGAAUUAUUGAUGAAGGCGUGUGACACGUGUGUUCUGCCUUCGCUUCCUGAAUGAGAGAGUGCCUUCGGGGAUUUUAUUUUUCUUUUCUUUUUCCAAGUGGCAAGUAAAUUCUUGGCCUGGAUUUUCGGCGUCGAACCGUGGUGCCUGUGAUUGCAGGGUGUCUGAACCGUACACAGCCGUUAGCACUCGCCCACCAGAACGUGGACAGAACCGUCACGACCUUUAGAAGCUGGGCGUGUUGUUUUAAACCACACUAAAGCCACCGGUCUUUAUUUCUCCAAUAAUCUGUCAACGUCUCUGGUCUGGUGUGUUUGAGGCGAGGAAACCGAAUAUAUGUUUAAAGUGCUUUCCUCAGGCACUGCUGGUAGACCCUGGGUCUGAUCUGAAACGGGUCUGGAUCCUGGGUCUGAUCUGAAACGGGUCUGGGUUUGUUUUUUUAAAAACCCAUAAAUGAAAUGAUUCAUAAAUGGUCGUGAGAUUGUGUGUGAUAUAAUAAGGUGAAACCACUUUUAUCACACAGAUUGUGUCUCCGCAUCUCUCUCACUCUCUCUCUCUCUCUCUCUCUCUCUCUCUCCUCCUCCCUCCCUCACUGGGCCUGUCUUUUUUUUCUCUGUCGCUCUCCGUGCAUCUCUCGCUUUCUCUCUCUCUCUCUAUCUCUAUCUAUCUCACUCACUCACUAGGUCUGUCUUUUUUUUCUCUAUUUCUCUCCGUGCAUCUCUCUCUCUCUCACUCACUCACUCACUCGGUCUGUCUUUUUUUGUCUCUGUCUCUCCGUGCAUCUCUCUCACUCUCACUGGGCCUGUCUUUUUGUCUCUGUCUCUCCGUGCAUCUCUCUCUCUCUCUCUCUCUCGAUGUCUCUAUAUUUGUUUGUGUCUCUCUGUAUCUCUUCCUCCAUCUCUGUCUACCUCUCUCCCUGUGUCUGUCUGUCUCUGUCUCCCUGUCUUUCUCUCACCCCAUCUCUCUCUGUGUCGCUCUCUCGAUCUCUCCCCCACUCUCUGUGUCUCUCUAUCUCUUUCUCUCUCCAUCACUUCUCGCUCUCUUUUUCUCUCUCCAUCACUUCUCGCUCUCUUUUUCUCUCUCCAUCUUUCUGUCUGUCUCAACCUAUCUCCCUCCCUUUCUGUCUCUGUCUCUCUCUUUCUCUCUCUCUCUGUCUCUCUCUCUCUCUCUGUGUGUCUAAGACCCCCAGGACCCCCCCCCC
Ictalurus punctatus (channel catfish) is the source of this 1523-nucleotide long non-coding RNA. The record is from Ensembl. Lineage: Eukaryota; Metazoa; Chordata; Actinopteri; Siluriformes; Ictaluridae.